This 405-nucleotide ribosomal RNA is filed under the name Triticum aestivum (bread wheat). Its description in RNAcentral is "partial small subunit ribosomal RNA". The record is from RNAcentral. Lineage: Eukaryota; Viridiplantae; Streptophyta; Magnoliopsida; Poales; Poaceae.
AUGGGCCUCCUCGACAAGCUGUGGGACGACACCGUCGCGGGGCCCCAACCGGACACCGGUCUCGGCCGCCUCCGCAAACUCGCCGCCCGCCCCGCCGCCGUCAAGAUCAACGAUGUGGCUCCUGGCGCCGCGACGGUGAUCCCACCUACCACGACGGCCGGCGGCGAGGAUGCGCCGAUGAAAGUCACGCGCAGCAUCAUGAUUAAGCGGCCGGCGGGGUACCCCUCGUCGCCGAGGAGCGCGGCCAGCACGCCGCCAGCCUCGCCGCUAGGAACCACGCCGCCCAUCUCCCCGUUCGCCGGCGGCGGUGGUCGGUUCAGAAGGAAAUCAUCCUCGGAUGCGUACGAGAGGGCUACACCACCUGGGGCGUCGACCAGUCACCCUCCUCCACCCUUUGAAGUGUGA